AAAGGUUGACCUCGAAUCAGGUAGGAAUACCCGCUGAACUUAAGCAUAUCAAUAGSSGGAGGAAA
This 65-nucleotide ribosomal RNA is filed under the name Knoxdaviesia capensis. Its description in RNAcentral is "partial 28S ribosomal RNA". Lineage: Eukaryota; Fungi; Ascomycota; Sordariomycetes; Microascales; Gondwanamycetaceae. The record is from RNAcentral.